This 519-nucleotide ribosomal RNA is filed under the name Fusarium oxysporum. Its description in RNAcentral is "eukaryotic LSU rRNA". The stretch from base 181 to 334 matches the Rfam family "5.8S ribosomal RNA". The record is from RNAcentral. Lineage: Eukaryota; Fungi; Ascomycota; Sordariomycetes; Hypocreales; Nectriaceae.
UUCCGUAGGNNUAACCUGCGGAGGGAUCAUUACCGAGUUUACAACUCCCAAACCCCUGUGAACAUACCACUUGUUGCCUCGGCGGAUCAGCCCGCUCCCGGUAAAACGGGACGGCCCGCCAGAGGACCCCUAAACUCUGUUUCUAUAUGUAACUUCUGAGUAAAACCAUAAAUAAAUCAAAACUUUCAACAACGGAUCUCUUGGUUCUGGCAUCGAUGAAGAACGCAGCAAAAUGCGAUAAGUAAUGUGAAUUGCAGAAUUCAGUGAAUCAUCGAAUCUUUGAACGCACAUUGCGCCCGCCAGUAUUCUGGCGGGCAUGCCUGUUCGAGCGUCAUUUCAACCCUCAAGCACAGCUUGGUGUUGGGACUCGCGUUAAUUCGCGUUCCUCAAAUUGAUUGGCGGUCACGUCGAGCUUCCAUAGCGUAGUAGUAAAACCCUCGUUACUGGUAAUCGUCGCGGCCACGCCGUUAAACCCCAACUUCUGAAUGUUGACCUCGGAUCAGGUAGAANNCCCAANNC